This 61-nucleotide microRNA precursor is filed under the name Pristionchus pacificus. RNAcentral describes it as "mir-8364 microRNA precursor family". It matches the Rfam family "mir-8364 microRNA precursor family". The record is from Rfam by way of RNAcentral. Lineage: Eukaryota; Metazoa; Nematoda; Chromadorea; Rhabditida; Neodiplogasteridae.
UCUUCAUUUUACACACUCUCUCACCGGUCAGAGAGGCGAGAGAGUGUGUGAAAUGAAGAGA